This 2878-nucleotide ribosomal RNA is filed under the name Stenotrophomonas maltophilia. RNAcentral describes it as "bacterial LSU rRNA". It matches the Rfam family "Bacterial large subunit ribosomal RNA". Lineage: Bacteria; Pseudomonadati; Pseudomonadota; Gammaproteobacteria; Lysobacterales; Lysobacteraceae. The record is from RNAcentral.
UCAAGCGAAUAAGCGCACACGGUGGAUGCCUUGGCGGUCAGAGGCGAUGAAGGACGUGGCAGCCUGCGAAAAGUAUCGGGGAGCUGGCAACAAGCUUUGAUCCGGUAAUGUCCGAAUGGGGAAACCCACCCGCUUGCGGGUAUCCUGCAGUGAAUACAUAGCUGCUGGAAGCGAACCUGGUGAACUGAAAUAUCUAAGUAACCAGAGGAAAAGAAAUCAACCGAGAUUCCGUAAGUAGCGACGAGCGAACGCGGACUAGCCCUUAAGCUGAUUUGGUUCUAGGAAAACGCUCUGGAAAGAGUGGCCAUAGAAGGUGAUAGCCCUGUAUCUGAAAGGGCCAUUUCAGUGAAGACGAGUAGGGCGGGGCACGUGAAACCCUGUCUGAACAUGGGGGGACCAUCCUCCAAGGCUAAAUACUACUGACCGACCGAUAGUGAACCAGUACCGUGAGGGAAAGGCGAAAAGAACCCCGGAGAGGGGAGUGAAAUAGAACCUGAAACCGUGUGCGUACAAGCAGUAGGAGCUCCGCAAGGAGUGACUGCGUACCUUUUGUAUAAUGGGUCAGCGACUUACUGUUCGUGGCAAGCUUAACCGUAUAGGGGAGGCGAAGGGAAACCGAGUCUGAUAAGGGCGCAUAGUCGCGGGCAGUAGACCCGAAACCGGGUGAUCUAGUCAUGCCCAGGGUGAAGGUGCGGUAACACGCACUGGAGGCCCGAACCCACUCCCGUUGCAAAGGUAGGGGAUGAGGUGUGAUUAGGAGUGAAAAGCUAAUCGAACCCGGAGAUAGCUGGUUCUCCUCGAAAGCUAUUUAGGUAGCGCCUCAUAUGUAUCCUCUCGGGGGUAGAGCACUGUUAUGGCUAGGGGGUCAUCGCGACUUACCAAACCAUUGCAAACUCCGAAUACCGAGACGGACUGUAUGGGAGACACACGGCGGGUGCUAACGUCCGUCGUGAAAAGGGAAACAACCCAGACCCACAGCUAAGGUCCCAAAUUCACUGCUAAGUGGAAAACCAUGUGGAAAGGCACAGACAGCCAGGAGGUUGGCUUAGAAGCAGCCACCCUUUAAAGAAAGCGUAAUAGCUCACUGGUCGAGUCGGUCUGCGGGGAAGAUUUAACGGGGCUAAGCACAGAACCGAAGCUUGGGGUGCAUAACUUUGUUAUGCGCGGUAGAGGAGCGUUCCGUAAGCCGUUGAAGGUGGAUUGAGAAGUCUGCUGGAGGUAUCGGAAGUGCGAAUGCUGACAUGAGUAACGAUAAUGCGGGUGAAAAACCCGCACGCCGAAAGCCCAAGGUUUCCUUGCGCAACGUUAAUCGGCGCAGGGUGAGUCGGCCCCUAAGGCGAGGACGAAAGUCGUAGUCGAUGGGAAGCAGGUUAAUAUUCCUGCACCUCGCGUAAGUGCGAUGGAGGGACGGAGAAGGUUAGGUGUACCAGGCGUUGGUUGUCCUGGGGAAAGGCGGUAGGUUUGGAUCUUUGGCAAAUCCGGGAUCCUUUAAGACCGAGCACCGAGACGAGCCUUUAUGGCGAAGUCACUGAUACCACGCUUCCAGGAAAAGCUCCUAAGCUUCAGCUUACGCAGACCGUACCGUAAACCGACACAGGUGGGUAGGAUGAGAAUUCUCAGGCGCUUGAGAGAACUCGGGUGAAGGAACUAGGCAACAUGGCACCGUAACUUCGGGAGAAGGUGCACCCUUUUUGGUGGCUCGUGCGAGCUAUAGCUGAAGAGGGUCGCAGUAACCAGGCCGCUGCGACUGUUUAUCAAAAACACAGCACUCUGCAAACACGAAAGUGGACGUAUAGGGUGUGACGCCUGCCCGGUGCUGGAAGGUUAAUUGAUGGGGUCAGCCGCAAGGCGAAGCUCUUGAUCGAAGCCCCAGUAAACGGCGGCCGUAACUAUAACGGUCCUAAGGUAGCGAAAUUCCUUGUCGGGUAAGUUCCGACCUGCACGAAUGGCGUAACGACAGCGGCGCUGUCUCCACCCGAGACUCAGUGAAAUUGAAAUCGCUGUGAAGAUGCAGCGUUCCCGUGGCAAGACGGAAAGACCCCGUGAACCUUUACUAUAGCUUUACACUGAACGUUGAGUUCGUCUGUGUAGGAUAGGUGGGAGGCUAUGAAACUGUGGCGCUAGCUGCAGUGGAGCCAUCCUUGAAAUACCACCCUGUCGUGCUUGACGUUCUAACCUGGGCCCAUUAUCUGGGUCGGGGACCGUGUAUGGUGGGUAGUUUGACUGGGGCGGUCUCCUCCUAAAGAGUAACGGAGGAGCUCGAAGGUACGCUCAGCGCGGUCGGACAUCGCGCACUGUGUGCAAAGGCAUAAGCGUGCUUGACUGCAAGAUCGACGGAUCAAGCAGGUAGGAAACUAGGACUUAGUGAUCCGGUGGUUCUGUAUGGAAGGGCCAUCGCUCAACGGAUAAAAGGUACUCCGGGGAUAACAGGCUGAUACCGCCCAAGAGUUCAUAUCGACGGCGGUGUUUGGCACCUCGAUGUCGGCUCAUCACAUCCUGGGGCUGUAGUCGGUCCCAAGGGUAUGGCUGUUCGCCAUUUAAAGUGGUACGCGAGCUGGGUUCAGAACGUCGUGAGACAGUUCGGUCCCUAUCUGCCAUGGGCGUUGGAGAUUUGAGAGGGGCUGCUCCUAGUACGAGAGGACCGGAGUGGACGAACCUCUGGUGUUCCGGUUGUCACGCCAGUGGCAUUGCCGGGUAGCUAUGUUCGGAAGCGAUAACCGCUGAAAGCAUCUAAGCGGGAAGCGCGCCUCAAGAUGAGAUCUCCCGGGGCACAAGCCCCCUGAAGGAACCAUGUAGACUACGUGGUUGAUAGGUCAGGUGUGUAAGUACAGCAAUGUAUUGAGCUAACUGAUACUAAUGAUCCGAGAGGCUUGACCAU